This 435-nucleotide ribosomal RNA is filed under the name uncultured bacterium. RNAcentral's name for it is "partial 16S ribosomal RNA". It matches the Rfam family "Bacterial small subunit ribosomal RNA", at positions 28 to 507 of the family's 1533-position model. The record is from RNAcentral.
GAUGAACGCUGGCGGUAUGCUUAACACAUGCAAGUCGAACGGACUCUUCGGAGUUAGUGGCGGACGGGUGAGUAACGCGUGAGAAUCUGGCUUUGGGUUCGGGACAACCACUGGAAACGGUGGCUAAUACCGGAUGUGCCGAGAGGUAAAAGAGAAAUUGCCUGAAGAUGAGCUCGCGUCUGAUUAGCUAGUUGGUGAGGUAAAGGCUCACCAAGGCAGCGAUCAGUAGCUGGUCUGAGAGGAUGACCAGCCACACUGGGACUAAGACACGGCCCAGACUCCUACGGGAGGCAGCAGUGGGGAAUUGUCCGCAAUAGGCGAAAGCCUGACGGAGCAAUACCGCGUGAGGGAAGAAGGCUCUUGGGUUGUAAACCUCUUUUCUUAGGGAAGAACAAAAUGACGGUACCUAAGGAAUCAGCAUCGGCUAACUCCGUG